Prionailurus viverrinus (fishing cat) is the source of this 152-nucleotide long non-coding RNA. RefSeq lists it as uncharacterized. The transcript has 3 exons. Lineage: Eukaryota; Metazoa; Chordata; Mammalia; Carnivora; Felidae. The record is from RefSeq and is a predicted model, not a curated record.
AAAAGUAAAUGUAAAUGAUGGGCAUUGAGGACGGCACUUGUUGGCAUGAGCACUGAUUGUUGUAUGUAAGCGACAAAUCAUGGGAAUCUGCCCCUGAAACCAAGAGUAACUGUAUACACUGUAUGUUAGCUAACUUGACAAUAAAUUCUAUU